AAAUAAGCGUCCGUUCCCACCACCCACCUUCAGGGCUAAAACUGAAAAAUCAGUGCGCUGCGCUCCACAACCAUACCAAAACAAACCAAUACCAACUCAAACCCACCCUCAUAUCCUCCCACAUCUUCCCUGCGCUUCUCCGUCCCACAGAACCCAGCGGCCCCGGCUUCGCGCCACCGCAGCUGGCAUCUUCUAGGCGCAACGCAUGCGCCUAACCUCUAGGUUCUUUACCGCGGGGCGGUCUCAGGGCCGACCCGAACUACAAUUCCCAGCAUCCUGCGCGGCGCGGGGAAGGAAGCCUGAGAAUGAGAGAAAGAGGCUCCGGGGGAUAGCGGGCCAGUGAGGGCCGCUCCUCCUUUGAAGCGGUUUUGCGUCUUUUUCCGCCGGUGGCGUCGGCGCUCACGCAGGGGCGGGUCCCGGUAGCGCGAGGCAGUGCAGGGCGGGAAGGGGAGUCGUGGCGGCCGGGGCGGCAGGGACAGCGGCAGCGGCGACGGCGGCAGGGACAGCAGGCGCGGUGGUGCUGUCAGCGCGGCCGUCGGAGAAAUGGGAGACCCGGGGUCGGAGAUAAUAGAAUCUGCCCCUCCAGCUGGCCCUGAGGCAUCUGAGUCAAAAACGGAUGAAACUGAGGACGACAUUCAGUUUGUCAGUGAAGGACCAUUACGACCUGUUCUUGAAUACAUUGAUCUAGUCAGCAGUGAUGAUGAAGAGCCUAGCACCUCUCAUACAGAUAGAAUGCCUGAAUCUAAGGUGCCAUCCUCUGAGAAUCAUCGCCCAGAAAUGUGCUCUAGCUGCAAUGUUCCUCUUCCCAUUGGAGAUAGCAGCUCCUUCUCUGGGAGUUGUUCCAGCAGUCCAGAAAGGAUAGUUUCUCAAACUUCCUCUGUUGAGAACCCAUUGGAGAACCAGAAAAAUGAUCAAAAUAAUUCAGAUACUAAGAUCUCUGAGACACAGACCCUUAAAUCAUCACAGAAUUUUCACACUCUGCCUUCAUCUCCACUUCUGGUCCCCCAGGAAUCUUUGUCCUCUUCUGAGGUCAAAGAGAAUUUAUAUAUAGAUUCUUCUUCAGCUUCACAGCAUGGACAGGAUGCCAUCCUCUAUCUCCAGACACAAGUAGCUGAGAUGUCCCGAGUCAUACGUGAUCUGCAGUCCAGGAGCUGUUUUAGAUUUCAUCAUUCUAGGCCAAAUGAGAAUUCCUCAGUUCCUUGGGACAUCUCCACCUCUAAGGAGGAAAGUUUAUCCACAGUUGAAGAAGAAACUGAUUACAAAUCACCAACAACUGAUGACAAAGGGCAGCCAUCUGACCCCAGCCAAUCUAGUUUCACAGGUCUUUUGAAGAGAAUGGAACAAAGAGGUGUUAUAAAAAGGGUGACAUUACAAUCAGAAGCGGAAUCAUGUGAAGGGAAACCUGAUUGUGUGAACUCUAAAAAACGUUUGGUUCCUCCAUUACAUCCUCUUCUGAGAAUUGCCACCACUGAGGUUUUUAAAGACCCUGCUGAUUGUCAUCCUUCUUCCUUCAUGGGACAUAGAGUAUAUCCUGUGGCCAAGGACACCUCUCCUUUUCAACCAAACCCACCAGCUGAAGGCCCCAUUGUAGAAGCAUUAGAACACAGCAAAAGAGGAAACACAACAUCCCCUCUAGAUUCUACCUCAAAAGAAAUGGAAGUCAUGGGUUGUAGAUUUUACCAUGCUGCCUCAAUUGCAGCUCGAGCUGCUAGCUACAUGGCUUAUAUGACUCAGUAUCAGCGUAAACUCUGGGAAGACAUGGAAGAUCUGGUUCAUGACCCAGAGUUUGAUCGUGGAAAAGCAAGAUGUAUUAUAUCUGAUGGUAUGGAUGCAGGCCUUUGGCAACUUUGUACUACUAGGGACAUAAUGGACUCUGUAGUCAGAGUUAUGGCCAUGGCCAUAGACUACAGAAGGCAGGCCUGGCUUCGACUUACAUCUCUCACCAAGAAAACCCAGGAGAAGAUCUCCCACUUGCCCUUUGAUGGUACUUCCCUUUUUGGACAAGAUGUAAAAGCUGUUGUUGCAGAAGAGAGCAGUAUAAAAGAAAAUGACUAUAAAGAUCACAAUAAAUACUAUAAUCAGCAUCGAUACUUUUAUAGUCAUGAUCAGAAAGCACAUUAUCACAAUAGAGGAUACUCCAAAGGGGAUUGGUACAAACCUCGAAACCACCCCUAUAGAUACAGAAAGAAGGGAGAGUCUCCAGAACGCCAUGGGUAUAAGAAUUAAUAACCUGUUUUGUGUUCAGCAGGAUAGUCAUCCAAGAUCUUAACUAUUUUACUUGUUCCUCCUGUACAAACAGGAUCUACAGAUAGGAAAUCAUCUCAAAAACUAAAUGCAUGUCUGGAAUGAUCACAGCUGAUGUUUGAAUUCUAGACUUUUGAAAUGAAAUAUUAUAAUAAACUCAUGAUUUAUUGGCCAAGUGAGCAGUGGAGACUUUCUUGAAAGGAGGGUUGACCAGAUGUUAAUCCGUUAUUUCUGGUCCAAAAUAAGUUUGGAGGAGGACCACUCAGGAAUCUGAAUCCUCUUGUGAUUAAAGAAAAAUGUAAAGAUUUGUUCCUCAGGAAAAUCUUAUUUGUAAGCUGAGGACUAGCAGAUUUUGAAUCUAGAAAUAAUCUAAUACUAGAUCUCUGUUUACUGAGACCAGAAGUAAAUCCUUCAUUUUUAGGUUAUCAGUGCUUCCUUGUUUAGGCUUCAGUUUGACAGAUCUUCACAAAAUGACACAUCUGUUACAAUGUCUUUAUGUCAAGAUGGUCAACUCACCAAGAGUUCAUACUACUAUCAAGCUCUGUGAGACUUCAGAAUUAGCCAUGAAGCUUUGGGUCAACUAGAAUUCAAAUCAAAUUUUGCCAGAUCCAAUUUGCUUCCCUUUGGAAUGUCUAGAUGUCACAGGUCUACUAUGGACACCAAUCGGAAAAAGACUUCUACCUGUAACAUCUCUGUAGAAAUCGCACAGUAUCUUCAUCAAGACUUUGAUGGCCACCAUACCAUCACUACUCAUAAAGCUAUAUGUGAGAGAAUUCUUCGUUGUCAUCAAUCCUAAUAAUCUUUGACCUAUCAAGCUCUCAUAUCAAGCUGUAUGACUGAGUCAUGGUAGUCUCACUAUAAGCUGGGCCUUUCACCAAGAUGGCCUUCUUAAACAACCUACCUUCUAAACAUGUAAUUCUUUUGAGCUUGAUAGUGUAUCACACUCCUAAGUACAAAAAAGUUAUGCACAUCAGUGCCCUGGAAAUAAAGGAUGUUACACACACCAUCCAGGCAUGCAGAUCUGAACUCUUAAGAGCAAGAAUUCCAAACAUGCCUGACAAUCUUGUCCUCUUACUGUAAUAAAGAGGGAUACCAUCCAUCUAGAUUUUAUUGAGAAUCCUUAAGAUUUAAAGCAUAGCUGUGGAUGUAGUGAAGAGAACAAGCCACACAGUUCUGUUUCUGGAUAUCUAAGUGAUGAUAUCCAUUGAUUUGAAAGGCUGAAAUCAAGACUUAAGCGAUACAUUCUUGGUUAAUUGGUUAAUUUAGUCAGACUCCUACUGUAAUAGAUGGCUUAUCUUUUUGCUCCCAAUUGGUCCUAGUAAUAGUUUUUCACCGUACUGGAACUGGCAGCAGAUACCUCAAUUAUAUGUCCCACAGUAUCUUAUCUUUAGACUCAAGGUAGUGGAUGUAUGAUAUAUCAGCCCUUAGAUCCAUGUCAUCACAGUAUGACAUCAAGAAAGGAGAAUAUGUCAAGUUUGAGGGGUCUGAAUAUAUCACCUAGUAUUAUUUACUUUGCAGCCAAAAACAGUUGUUUUUCUUUUCAUUGACAGACUUAAAUACUGUAACUUCUGCAUUUUUUUCAUCUUGAUCAAGACAUUUUGUGUAUACUACUAAUGGAAUAUGGCACUAUUUUAUGGUUUAUGUGGUUUCUUUUCUUGCCAUAGUUCUUGCACAGUGGUAAUUGACAUUUUCUCUGGUGCCAUACUUUUUAAUAGUUUAUUGGAAGCUCAUUCCUACUGCCUCAUUGUAAUCAUAUUCAGCAUCCAUUUUUAAAUCUGCUUUUCUUCCUUAUUUGUGCUACAGUGGUUGAAGGCAUAAAUUUUCCUACUUGGAAGAAAUUAUUUUGUCAGAUAACUUCAGGAUACUGGUCUUGUUUGUCCUAUUUGUAGGUUAAACUUGAACUUUUCUUAAUAAAGAGGAUGUCAUUUUGCAAAUUUAGCCCAGUCAUAUAAAGAGUUAAUAUUUACCUUAUUUUCUUUUGUAUUUUACACAAAGUUUUAUUUCUACUUCUGUGGAAAUAGGUCCAUGCCAAUGUUCUCUACAAACUGUCUUUCAAACCAAAUUCUAGAAGAAUAUUGGUUACCUGAAAAGAAACAAAGGCCUGAGAAAUCAUACAUAGAUUUUUGUAGCUUAUGUGUACUCCACCAAUCAAGCAAUCUCAUAUGCUCUCGAUAUUGGCACUGUAGUUUUAUCUUAGAGGAUUUGCCACUAACAAGUUCCCUACUAGCUAAGGCUACUUCAGACUCUUUACUUUCCAUUUCUCCCCUUUUCCUUCCGUGAAUUAGAUGCUGUGUCAUAAACUUGGUGGUUUUUGAAAUACCCUUAUUUCAGACCUUAGACUAAACCAAAAUAAGUUAUGCCUGAAAAUGUGAUUGUCUGAAACUAUUUUGGCACUUCCCUUUAAUGUGCUUCUCCUCCCCUUCGCCUUUUAAAUUGUGGUUAAAAAAAAAAAAAGACACGUAAAGUUUAGCACCUUAACCAUUUUUUAAGCCUAUGGUAGUGUUGACUAUUCACAUUGUUGCACAGUUCCUCAGUUCUCAAAUAUUGGUAAGAAGAUGUUGCUGUUCUCUUUUCCUCUUGUGAUAUUUAUGUUGCUCAGUAAUUAAGUAAAAGUAUCCUUUCUUAGUUACUCUCACUGAUAUGCCCAAGUAUCUCUGAAUACUCUGUUUUACUCAAAGUGUAAAGGUAUUGGGAAAACAUCAAAUUGGUGACCAACAAGUUCUGAAAGGAUUUGAUAAGUUUAAUAGGGUUGGGGACAGAAUGCAGAUUAGGAGGAGUUUUUAGCUACAGAUUAGUUUCUUGACUGCAAAAGAAAUACCCUUAAUGUGUUUAUUUUUUAUUAUUUAAAAAUCUCUGGCAUACUUGAAUGAUGAUAAUGUUAUAAAACUUAAAGUGGGGAUUUGGUCUAGGGAGAUGACCCCAAUACAAUCAGAAACUCUUAAUUAGUCAGUUAAUAAAUAUUCAUAUUAUGCCUGCCAUGUGCAGAGCCUGCAACAAAAUUCUCUACUAGGCCCGCCUCUAAUGUUUAAAUACCUCUAGGUUUUCUAGGAGGCCUCGGAAUCGUUGCAAGUUUAAUGAUCUGGUAUUCUCAAAAAGGAUGUAUCUAAUGAUCUUUUUCCUUCAAAAUGUUAUUUCUUGAUUAGAUAUAAAAUGUAUACAGAGACAAUAUAGUUUCUUGUGGUUACUGUGUAUAGAGAAGUACUGUUUCCAUUUUUAUAUGAAGUGCCUUUUUAAAUUCUACCCUUUUCUUUAAAUCUUAAACUUUGAUGUCUUACAUAUAUUGCUGGUGAUAUUUAUGUGAGUUUUGUACAGUGAUUUAAUCUUGUACUUUAUUACUGUGUCAUUUGUACAAUUGCACUAUCUAAAUGUACUCCCUUCUGAAUGUUAAUUUGUUUUCUUUAUAGCACUGUUGAUUCAUUUCAGAAGGUUGUAGAAUACCUUCCUCCCCCUUAUUUAACUAACUAGACAGUAGUUUCUUUUCGUUAUUAGUGAGUGGCCAAUUCUGGGGGGGCCUUAAGGCAGCUUUGUUUUCUGUAGAUAUGUUCUAGGUUUUCUGAUUGUCUCAUAUCUAACCUUGUUUUUAGCCAUGGUAACACAACUUAUAUUUGAUAAGUGGAUGUGUUUACUUGGUUAGAAUAAGCAAGGACAUUUUUAAAAAGCAGUAAAUUUACUGACACUUUAUCUUUUUUUUUUUAAAAGACUGAAUGACAGCUUCCUUAUCAGUAUAAUUACAUUUAAACUUUUUUUUUUUAACUGUGUGGCAGCUUCUUUAUCAGUAUAAUUCCAUUUAUUUACUUAGCCCUCAAAAUGACAUUUUGAAGGGAGCAUAAACUCUUUCAGGCUACUUGGACACUGUUUAGUAUGCUGUAUUAAUACUACACUAAUAAUUUACUGAGUGAUACCUAAGUGACCUGAUUGAUAAUGUCCUUAAGGACCUGAUACAUCCAGGAUAACCUCUCAGGUAAUGUAAACAAGGAGGUUGAAAAAGACAUUCCAGAAUUCCAUUGUCUGGUAAAAUUGGGUACCAAGGUGGAUGGACAUGAUGUUCAUUAUUCUUGAAGAUACAACUAGUUGACUAGGAUUCUGAUGAAGACUUGAUAUUGUGGAUUAGAUCUUUGUAGAAAUUGUUUAAAGAUUGCAAUAAAUGAAACCUUUUUUUUUUGUUUGUUUUUGUUUUUGUUUUUGUUUGAAAUGGAAUUUCACUCUUGCCCAGGCUGGAGUGCAGUGGAGUGCUCACUGCAACCUCCACCUCCCGGGUUCAAGCAAUUCUUCUGCUUCAGCCUUCUGAGUAACUGGGAUUACAGGCAUGUGCACCAUGCCUGGCUAAUUUUAUAUUUUUGGUAGAGACAGGGUUUCUCCAUGUUGGUCAGACUGGUUUCAAACUCCUGACCUCAGGUGAUCGUCCCUCCUCGGCCUCCCAAAGUGCUGGGAUUGCAGGCAUGAGCCACUGUGCCUGGCUGUGAAAUCUUUUUUUUAUGUGAGGCAUAUUUUGCCGCAGUCUUGCACUGUUUAGGUUCUCUUGUCUUUUGGAAUUUACCAUUCUGUACUUAAUGUUAGUGGCUAGUCCAGUAAUUGAUUGUCUCAUCUGUAUGCAUCUUAUGCAUGUGAUUCAAUUGACUAGAUCAAUUCUGUAUGGUUUAUCAUAGUAGAUACACAAACCAGUCUUUAUUUUUUACUAAGAAAAUAUAUAGGUAGAAGUUAUUAGUAAACAUGAUUAUUGUAUUGAAUGUAAAUCUUUUUAUUUUUCCAGAUAUAUUGAGUUUUAUAAACCAUUAAAAAUUAUUUUAUGAAAUUUCCCUUCCUGGAUGAAGAGAAUAUUGUUUUAUUAAAUCUUAUCUUAUUAGUGGGAGAUAUUUGUACUUCUUUGUCUUUUCAUUUACUUGAUUUUUGUUGUAAUGGAAACUUUAGAAGUGUUUGGUACCAUUGAGAUAACUUAUUACUGGAAAUUUUGUUUGCUUCCUGUGGGAUAUAUCUGGAAGUGGUCACAGCCCAACCAUGUCCUUUUGAUGUUGUUAGCAUAUCAGUUAUUCUUUGUUUUGACCUUUUCUUCUCCCGUAUUCAGCACCUCUUUCUGAAAGAAUGUCUGAUCUUCCCAUAAUCUCUUCGAUGUAGAUUAUAUUUUUUAUUCUAUCAGUGUAUAUUAGGCAAGAUUUUGAUGUGGCUUUGUAUUGUAUAUUUAAAUACCAUGUCUUAAACAUUGUUAGAAGAGAUUUUCUAGUUUCUUCUAAUGUCCCUUUUCAAAAAAAUAUAGCCAGUCCAAUAUCUCAAACUGUACUUUGGUUUUUGAACUUAAAUCAACUUUUAGUGCUGCCUUGCUUAAUGGUAGUAUUACUUUCUCAUUUCUACAUGUUCACACAAAUUUGUUAUAUAUAGUUUAGAGUCAUAUGCAUCUUGUAAAAUUUUGAAGCCCAUCGCCACGGAUUUAUUAUAGUAUAGCUGUGAUAUAUUGUAUUUUAAAGUUUACCCAUUUUCUCUAGGUUUUAAGGGCUUUACAGGUUGAGGUAACUAUUUCAAAUGGUCUAUUGGGUGUUUUGAUACUUUGUCAAGAAUUCAAUAAGAAUUUUCAGGUUGUCUGUAUUUUCUUUUAGGACUUUGGAGAUCUUUCAAGUGGUGGUGUUUUCUUGUAUUCCUGAGUAUAUUCCUUUGGUUAAUGAAAGUAAAUAGCUUAUAUUUGGUGAUACUUUUAAAAAUUCUACUUUGACCUUAACUGCUUCAAGUAUUAUGUUAUAGGUUUAGUUAGGAAUCCUUUUGUAAGACUUAACUUUCGUAUGCUAUCUUUUCUCCAUGAGCUAUCAUAGUACUUUUUUCUUUCAUUACCUAUAAGAGUGGCUCUAUCACGGCAUUCACUUUUAAGGGCUACAGUUUGAUAGACCUCUUGUUAACUCCUACUUUUAUUUGUGAUGGCUAUGUUUCACACUACCUUGAUUUAUAAACGUAGUAAUGUGUUAAAUAAUUAUCAUGUUGUGGUCCCUUAACACCUCUUUUGAUUGGUGGGGUAACAGUGAUGUGGAUGAUGAGAUAAAAUAAUAAAAACAUUUACCCAAGUCACUAAACACAGUUUUCAAUUCAUUUUUUUUACAUAUUAAUUUACAUUUAACUACUGUUAGGUAUUCAGCCCAUUCCUUUCUGCCUUCAGUAGAGUAUAGUUAUAUAAGUAGUUUCAUUUAGAUUCUUGGCACAGACAGAGUGGCUUGUAUAUUGAUCUUUCUUUAAUGGCUUAGAACAACUUCUAUGUAUUCUAACAGGUCUUGGAAGCAUGUUUAUAGCCUUGUGUCUAAUUGUCAUCUUCCUGCCUGGAAAGACAGUAGAAGAAAGAAUCUACAUUUGCAUAGCCUAUAGUACAGGCUCUGUGCUGGUUACAAGGCACUCUUGAGAGAGAAAUUCAUUGUUACUUUGCAGAUGAAGAACUGAAACUUAAAAGAGUUAUUAAGCAACUUGCUCAGGUGGUGGAACUGACUUUAAUACAGACUUUAAAUACAGACUUUUUCCAAUCUCAAUUUGACAUUAUACUAGGCUGCCUCCAUGUGUUUUUCAAAACCCCAUUUAAAUCUUCUAUGGUAAAUUAAUUUUACAUAAACAAUCUUGUUCUUUUCAGAACUUUGUUUAUGGCUUUACUGUCACCCCAUUAGUAUUUGAUGUCUUAUAUUAACUGAAUCCUGAUUAUUUCACUUGUCAUAUCAGGAACCUUAUCCUGUUAGUUCUUCUACUGAGGUUUCACUGUGCUGGACUGUUUAUUAUUGAUUCAUAGUCACUGGUUUCUGUUUCCAUUCAUUUUCAGCACUAUGUUAACCCUAUUGCUUGUGUUUUUUCUUUGUUCUGACUUAUUACAUUCAUUUUGUUUCAUAUAUAUACUUACCUUUUUUUUUUUUCUUAAACUGCCAUUUUGAGGUUAUUGGUUUAAUGGAAGGAAAAUUGAAUGGUAUAAAGCACAUGGUAUUUGAAUUCCAAAGGCCUUGAUCCUCAGUAUUAGCAAGUCACUUAUUCUCUUAGCCUCAGUUUUCCUACUCUUAAAUGAGGUAAUAUCCAAAAGUACUUUGAAAACACUAAAGCCUGAUGUAGAUUUCCUUUUUUAAGUAAUUGUACUGUUUCUAUUCAUAUUUAUAGAUUUCUUGUAACUGUAGGAUGGUAUUGGAUAUAGAUACAUAUAUUUUAAAAUGUAUUUGACAGCAUGUAAAUGUUUAUUUCAUGCCAUGUUAUCAUAUUCCCCCUUUUAUGUUUUUUAAGGCUAUCUUACAAGCCUAACAGUGUACUAAGUCAUUAAAAGAUAUAUUUAAAGUAAAAUAGUCUCUUUUCUCAAGUACAAGCUAAGAAAUGCUCAUAAUAAACAAUAAUAAGAGAAUGUAGAAUGAAGAACUAGAGUGUAUAUGUAUGUGUAUAUGAUUUUUGAUAGAUGGUAUUUUGUUACUUUAUAUCUGUUGAAAACAAUCUUUGUCAAACAUCUUUUACAGUACCUGCUAUGCGCAGGCAGGUACUGAGAGAGGUCUGAGAAUACUGAGGGUUAAUAAGAGAUGGUAUAUUCUCAAGAGAAAUAAAUACCAAUAAAGUAUAAGAGCAGCUGUCCUGUUUGGAAGAAUGCCUGUGGUGAUGGAACAAAAAAGGCCAUAUAGGGGGGUGAGGGAAGCUUUUCUUACCAAGUUCAUGAGCUGAGUUUUGGAGGAUGAUUAAGCAAAAGUUAGUUGGCCUGGUAGAGAAACAGGAGCCAGGCAUUCAGGUGGAGGAACAGGAGUGUGCAACAGUGUGGUGAACAUAAUGGGGUGUGUCUGAUUUCAGAAUGAUAAGAAAUAGUGUUUAGGGAGAACAGAAAUGAAGGAGACUAAACAGAAAGAAAGGUGAUAAAUUAUCCAUGAAUAUGUAUUAGUUCCUACAUAUUCAAAGUGUGCUAAGUUUGUGUAGCCAUUACUUGUAAGGCUCUAGAAGUUAUCUGUCUAGGGGUUACUUUGUACUAUAGUCCAGUAUGUACAUCCAGAACAAUUCUUUCCCAGAACUGAGCCCACGAAGGGCUUUCAGCAGUUCACCUCUGACUCGGGCAGCUCAAGCAAUCAGAAAGAACUGAGGUUCUGGUAGAAAACAACUCCGAGGAUUAGCAGGGUAAUGCCUCUGAAGUGGAAUGUGGUAUCACUUCAUUGUUAAAUGGUUGCAUAGUUCACAGUCACCUCUGGAAAGGUGUCCUCCACGGUAGCUAAAAGUAGUUAAUUGCCCUGUGUUUUGAUUUACAGAUAAUUUCUAGGUAGACUUGGGGAAAAUAAAGAUACUUAGAAAAAUAUUGCUUCAUUGGCAUUUGGAGGUGUUGUAUUGGAAGUGUGUUCAUAAUCACCAGAAUCCUCUUUAGAUGAUAAAGAUAGGAAACCAGGUUGUAGACCUUAUGCCAGUAAUAUCUCUAGCAGCUCCAACACAUUUUGUCAACUUCCCAUUUGUUUUUUUCUCUUAAGUUUCUUUCCUUGCCGUUGGCCACCUUUGCCUUAAAAAAAGAAAAAAAGUCUCACUGUGGUGCCCAGGCUAAGUGUAGUGGUGCAAUCUCGGCUGACUGCAACGUCUGCCUCCUGGGUUCAAGUGAUUCUCCUGCCUCAGCCUUCCAAGUAGCUAGGAUUACAGGCAUGUGCCACCAUGCCUGGCUAAUUUUUUGUAUUUUUAGUAGAGAUGGAGGGGGGCGGUUUCGCCAUGUUGGCCAGGCUGGUCUCAAACGCCUGACUACAAGUGAUCCUCGGCCUCGGCCUCUCAGAGUGCUGGGAUUACAGGUGUGAGCCACAACCACACCAGGCCCCACUCCCUUUUUUACUUUUAUCUUCUCUAUAGUUCAUCUUUUUUUUUUUCCUUCUGUGUCAGUGGCAGAACAGUGCCACUCAGGGUAAAGAAAUUGUAACUCCCUUUGGCUUUGUCACACUUCAUAUUCAGAGUUAAUGUUUUGUUUUAUUUUGGAGACCAAGUCUCGCUCUGUCACCCAGGUUAGAGUACAGUGGUGUGAUCUCGCCUCACUGCAUCCUCCGCCUCCCAGGUUCAAGUGAUUCUCCUGCCUUAGCCUCCCGAGUAGCUGGAACUGCAGGCACCCACCACCACGCUCGACUAAUUUUUAUAUUUUUAGUAGAUAACGAGAUUUCAUCAUGUUGGCUAGGCUGGUUUUGAACUCCUAACCUCAAGUGAUCUACCCACCUCAGGUGAUCCACCCGCCUCAGCCUCCCAAAGUGCAGGGAUUGUAGGUAUGAGCCACUGCACCUGGUCAUAUAUUUUAAAAUUCUCAUAAGUUCCAAAGUUGUAUUAUUAUUAUUAUUAUUGUUAUUUUUGGUCUUGUAUUGAAGGAAGAUGAAAGUCAUUUUCCUAAAAGGAUUUUUAUAGAAAUAGAUGUUGGCAAUUUACUCAAAUGUUAAUAUAGGAAAAUCUUUUUUAACAGGUUUGCUGGGACUAGCCUUCUUAACUGAAUAAGAUGCAGCAUUUCUGUCUAUAUUGUGGAGGAUGGAUAUUAAACAUAUUUUUAUAAGAAGAAUGUUAAACGUAAAGACCAUAUUGAUCAUCAGAAGGAUAAAGUUGCUUUAACUCUGGCUCGUCUAGCCCGCCAUGUUGAAGUGGAGAAACAGCAGAAAGAAGAGAAGAAUAGAGCAUUCAGAG
Callithrix jacchus (white-tufted-ear marmoset) is the source of this 11844-nucleotide non-coding RNA. Lineage: Eukaryota; Metazoa; Chordata; Mammalia; Primates; Cebidae. The record is from RefSeq and is a predicted model, not a curated record.